CCUACGGGAGGCAGCAGUGGGGAAUAUUGCACAAUGGGCGAAAGCCUGAUGCAGCAACGCCGCGUGAAGGAAGAAGGGUUUCGGCGCGUAAACUUCUAUCAACAGGGACGAAAGAAAUGACGGUACCGGAAUAAGAAGCACGGGCUAACUACGUGCCAGCAGCCGCGGUAAUACGUAGGGGGCAAGCGUUAUCCGGAAUUACUGGGGGUAAAGGGUGAGUAGGCGGCAUGGUAAGCCAGAUGUGAAAGCCUUGGGCUUAACCCGAGGAUUGCAGUUGGAACUAGAAAGCUAGAGUACAGGGGAGGAUGGCGGAAUUCCUAGUGUAGCGGUGAAAUGCGUAGAUAUUAGGAAGAACACCAGUGGCGAAGGCGAGUUUCUGGACUGAAACUGACGCUGAGGCACGAAAGCGUGGGGAGCGAACAGGAUUAGAUACCCCUGUAGUC
Molecule: ribosomal RNA, 443 nt
Filed under: uncultured bacterium
Lineage: Bacteria
Description: partial 16S ribosomal RNA
Rfam family: Bacterial small subunit ribosomal RNA
Source: RNAcentral